Long non-coding RNA from Austrofundulus limnaeus, 932 nucleotides. RefSeq lists it as uncharacterized. The transcript has 3 exons. The record is from RefSeq and is a predicted model, not a curated record. Lineage: Eukaryota; Metazoa; Chordata; Actinopteri; Cyprinodontiformes; Rivulidae.
UGAAGCUAUCGGUUCCCACGUUAGAUUCCUUCAGAACUUUAUGAAAUUGAUGAACAGAUUAUUUGUGCACCUAAUUAGUGCAAAACAAUUUUUUUAUUUAAUCUCCACACAGGAAAUGCUUGCAAAGGUGGAAUAUGCGGGAGAGCAGAUGAACAUUAAAGUUCCACAAAGUGAUGAAUCCUUUCAUUUCCUCCAAUUUCUUCAAGAGGUUGUGGACAAAUCCAGCUUUCAGCCUCAACUCUUCACAGACGGUGUACUUGUCCUGACUGACACUGAAGUUGAUUCAGACAUUUUUGAUGAGCUGGUAAAUUCUGGGGUUCAAGCUUUCAAAGUUGGAUAUAGAAAGCAGACAACCACAGAUAUUGAGAUCAGUGUUGUUGAAGAUGAAUCACAGUCAUCAGUACAGCCUCUCGUCCCCCCAACAUCAAUUUCAUUGUCAGACCAUCCGUUGUCUCCAGUUCAACUAUUAUUCUCAAAAGUACAAAGAACAGGAAGUAGGGCCUAGAAGAGCUUGAUCUUGAUGAAGCAAAACUGGUCAAAAGGUUUGAGUUUGGUCUUUUAAAAUUAAGAAGASUUGAUAGCUUGGAAGGUGGACAUGUAUUGUGUGAGUCAUUAAAUGUAGAUUUAUGCUGAAAUGUUUCAAAAUGGGUGGGAAAUUAUGGCACUGAAUACCAGGUUGGCCUGUUUUAAUACUUGAAUGUUCAGCGAAUACAUGAACAACUAGGCUGUACUGUCAACACCUUGUACUUUGAUGAACACUUUCAUGCAUAUUGUAUUGAAGAAAAAACACACAGUGUUAUUUGCAUUGACCAUCUUAAAUAUGUCAGACCCUUUGAUAAGCAAAGUGAGAGAGCGUGUUCCACMUUGUUACAUGUUUUAGAAACUGUUUUCCAAUUGUGGUGCAAGUUUUGAAAYAAAUGCAUUUCAGAAAA